UGUCGCCUACGCGGGCUGAUUCCGGCCUGCCCUCUUCACCUGCAACUGAACCGCUUGAGUAUGGAAAACCUGAAUCACCUGCUAAGCAUGUCGUGGCGGAGGUUGAGGACGAGGAAACAAAAGAGAAGCUCAAGGCGGCGGCUAACUUCGAGUGCAAUAUUUGUUUGGAUAUGGCGGUUGAGCCCGUUGUCACUACAUGUGGUCAUUUGUUUUGCUGGCCGUGUAUCUAUCAGUGGCUGAAUCUCCAUUCGGAUCAUCGAGAAUGCCCCGUGUGUAAAGGCGAAGUUGUUGAGUCCAACAUUAUACCUAUCUACGGGAGAGGCAACUCAGAGUUGAGUGAUGAUAAGAAGCUCGAAAAGAAAGAGGAGGUACCUCUGGAGAUACCCCCGAGGCCUCGCGGGAAUCGAUAUGAGAGCUUCAGGCAGCAGUUUCGGCCUAUUUCGAGGAGGUUGGGUGAGGGGAUUGCCAACUCUUGGCGGCGUCUUGUGGAUCAAAGGUUACGCAACAGAAGCAAUGUAGACUCGUCCUUGGCGGGAAUGUAUGACAUUGCUUAUCAGCGAGCACCACUUACUCGAAUGAGGGCGAGGAGAAUCCAGAGGGAAGAGAGGAUUUCGGAGACUCCUAUUGCCCGGGACAGUGGACUGCUGAGAGAUGGGUCUUCGAUCCCGCAUGCUAGCAGUUCGAACUUACAUUUUCGAGAUGGAGAUCCUUGGCGAACGUAUACUCUUCAUAACCUUUCUACUUCUGAGAGAUUGGCAGCUAUGGCUGUGGACCUAACUGGGGUUGUUGGGAGGUUUGGG
RNAcentral lists this unclassified non-coding RNA (800 nucleotides) under Hevea brasiliensis (rubber tree). The record is from RNAcentral. Lineage: Eukaryota; Viridiplantae; Streptophyta; Magnoliopsida; Malpighiales; Euphorbiaceae.